Long non-coding RNA from Helianthus annuus (common sunflower), 432 nucleotides. RefSeq lists it as uncharacterized. Lineage: Eukaryota; Viridiplantae; Streptophyta; Magnoliopsida; Asterales; Asteraceae. The record is from RefSeq and is a predicted model, not a curated record. The transcript has 4 exons.
UAAUCUUGAAAAAAUUCUAAAGAAGAUGGCGGAAGCUGGGUUUGAACUUGAUCAAUCCCCAGCUGAAAUGGUUCGUUUUGAUAGACAAAUUAGUUUUGAAAUUGCUGAUUCCAUUUCUGCCUUACGACCACUAUGCCUCUGCUGAUAGAAGAUGUUUGCGCAAUGAAAGAUGCUGAACAAAAAUCUGGUGAAAGGGGGCUAGAACUCCUCGUAGGGAGAUCUUACCCGCUGGUCAGAAAAUUGGGAUCCCUUCCACAUUGUUAUUGGAAUUGAUGGAGGAAGAAGUGGAAUUCUCUAGGAAUAAGUUUGCUGGGAGUCAAGCUGACCGGGCUGUGAAGGAAGAAGCUUACUGAAAAGCUGAAGAACACAAAAAUUAUAGGUGAUGGUUAUUUCUUUGCUUUAUGUACGUUUCGUUUUCUAUUUGUAUCGACU